This 460-nucleotide ribosomal RNA is filed under the name uncultured bacterium. Its description in RNAcentral is "partial 16S ribosomal RNA". It matches the Rfam family "Bacterial small subunit ribosomal RNA", at positions 28 to 507 of the family's 1533-position model. The record is from RNAcentral.
GAUGAACGCUGGCGGCGUGCUUAACACAUGCAAGUCGGACGGAAAGAGGUGCUUCCUGUUGCGGUCAGGUGAGCAACGCGUAAGAACCUGCCCCGGGGAGCGGAACAAUAGCUGGCAACGGUUGCUAAUAGACCCUAGGACGAGGAGCAAAUGGAGGAAUCAACCGGAGGAUGGGCUGGCGUCGGACUAGCUAGUUGGUGAGGUUAUGGGUUACCAAGGCGAUGUUCAGUAGCUGACCCGUGAGGAUGUCCAGCGACACUGGGACUGAGACACGGUCCAGACUCCGACGGGAGGCAGCAGCAGGCAACUGCGGGAGACGGGAGAAAGCAUGAUUCAGCAAUGGCGCGUGGGUGAAGAAGGUCUUCGGAUGGUGAAGCAGUAUGACUAGGGAUGAAGAACUGUUUAUCCAGGCGUAGAAGCCUUGACGGUACCUGGAGAAUAAGCAACGGCUAACUAUGUG